CAGCAGCCGCGGGAACACGGAGGGCGCGAGCGUUACCCGGAUUUACUGGGCGUAAAGGGCGUGUAGGCGGCCUGGGGCGUCCCAUGUGAAAGGCCACGGCUCAACCGUGGAGGAGCGUGGGAUACGCUCAGGCUAGAGGGUGGGAGAGGGUGGUGGAAUUCCCGGAGUAGCGGUGAAAUGCGCAGAUACCGGGAGGAACGCCGAUGGCGAAGGCAGCCACCUGGUCCACUUCUGACGCUGAGGCGCGAAAGCGUGGGGAGCAAGCCGGAUUAGAGACCCCCGUAGUCCCUGUCUUUUAUAC
Molecule: ribosomal RNA, 301 nt
Filed under: uncultured bacterium
Lineage: Bacteria
Description: partial 16S ribosomal RNA
Rfam family: Bacterial small subunit ribosomal RNA
Source: RNAcentral